CCAAUGUCCCUGGUUUUGUCUCUACUAUAGACAAACCCAGUGGAUUAAAAAACUGUUUUGAGCCACUCACUCAUAAAACUUCAGAAUGUGACUUGUACAUAGCCUUGGUUGUGAUAGAAUCCAAGAAACAACAGUGCUUCGUGUGCACUUCCUUGCAGCAAAAACACAUUGAAGAAGAAGAAUAUAAGGAGCAUUGGCAUGGAGUCAAGUGUGCAUCCAGUUGUACUCAAGUAACAUUCUGAAUGAGUAGUGUAAGUGGUACCAGUUGCCAAUGUCCCUGGUUUUGUUUAUGCUAUAGACAAACCCAGUGGAUUAAAAACUGUUUUGAGCCACUCACUCAUAAAACUUCAUAAUGUGACUUGUACAUAGCCUUAGUUGUGAUAGAAUUCAAGAAACAACAGUGCUUGAUGUGCACUUUGCUUCCCGUACAAACACAUUGAAGAAGAAGAAUAUAAGGAGCAUUGGCAUGGAGUCAUGUGUAUCCAUUUAUACUCAAGUCACAUUCUGAAUGAGUAGUGUAAGUGGUACCAGUUGCCAAUGUCCCUGGUUUUGUCCAUGCUAUAGACAAACCCAGUGGAAUAAAAAACUGUUUUGAGCUACUCACUCCUAAAACUUCAGAAUGUGACUUGUACAUAGCCUUGGUUGUGAUAGAAUCCAAGAAACAACAUUCCUUGGUGCGCACUUGCUUGCUGCACAAACACAUUGAAGAAGAAGAAUAUAAGGAGCAUUAGCAUGGAGUCAAGUGUGAAUUCAGCUUUAUACAAGUCACAUUCUGAAUGAGUAGUGUAAGUGGUACCAGUUGCCAAUGUCCCUGGUUUUGUCUAUGCUAUAGACAAACCCAGUGGAUUAAAAAACUGUUUUGAACCACUCACUCCUAAAACUUCAGAAUGUGACUUGCACAUAGCCUUGGUUGUGAUAGAAUCCAAGAAAUAACAGUGCUUGGUGUGCACUUGCUUGCUGCACAAACACAUUGAAGAAGAAGAAUAUAAGGAGCAUUGGCAUGGAAUCAGGUGUGCAUUCAGCUGCACUCAAGACAUACUCUGAAUGAGUAGUGUAUGUGGUCCCAGUUGCCAAUGUCUGUGGUUUUGUGUAUGCUACAGACAAACCCAGUGGAUAAGAAAAACUGUUUUGAGCCACUCACUCAUAAAACUUCAGAAUGUGACUUAUACAUAGCCCUGGUUGUGAUAGAAUUCAAGAAACAACAGUUCUUGGUGAGCACUUGCUUGCAGCAGAAAAGCAUU
Molecule: long non-coding RNA, 1241 nt
Organism: Saccostrea cuccullata (small rock oyster)
Lineage: Eukaryota; Metazoa; Mollusca; Bivalvia; Ostreida; Ostreidae
Exons: 5
Source: RefSeq, a predicted model, not a curated record